AGUAACACGUGAGUAACCUGCCCCCGAUUUCGGGAUAAGCCCGGGAAACUGGGUCUAAUACCGGAUACGACCUGCCCUCGCAUGAGGGUUGGUGGAAAGUUUUUCGAUCGGGGAUGGGCUCGCGGCCUAUCAGCUUGUUGGUGGGGUAAUGGCCUACCAAGGCGACGACGGGUAGCCGGCCUGAGAGGGCGACCGGCCACACUGGGACUGAGACACGGCCCAGACUCCUACGGGAGGCAGCAGUGGGGAAUAUUGCACAAUGGGGGAAACCCUGAUGCAGCGACGCAGCGUGCGGGAUGACGGCCUUCGGGUUGUAAACCGCUUUCAGCAGGGAAGAAGCCGUAAGGUGACGGUACCUGCAGAAGAAGUACCGGCUAACUACGUGCCAGCAGCCGCGGUAAUACGUAGGGUACGAGCGUUGUCCGGAAUUAUUGGGCGUAAAGAGCUCGUAGGUGGUUGGUCACGUCUGCUGUGGAAACGCAACGCUUAACGUUGCGCGUGCAGUGGGUACGGGCUGACUAGAGUGCAGUAGGGGAGUCUGGAAUUCCUGGUGUAGCGGU
RNAcentral lists this ribosomal RNA (560 nucleotides) under Brevibacterium sp. NH89-71. RNAcentral's name for it is "bacterial SSU rRNA". It matches the Rfam family "Bacterial small subunit ribosomal RNA", at positions 109 to 682 of the family's 1533-position model. Lineage: Bacteria; Bacillati; Actinomycetota; Actinomycetes; Micrococcales; Brevibacteriaceae. The record is from RNAcentral.